AGUUGAUUAAAAAAACCAAAAGUACACACAAGAAGAAAGAUAACUAACUGCCCUGGAUUGCAAAGACUGCGGUGGACCUCUUUCUCAGUGUCCAGUGUCCUGUGGCAUACAUUCAGGGCAAUACAU
RNAcentral lists this small nucleolar RNA (126 nucleotides) under Mus spicilegus (steppe mouse). RNAcentral's name for it is "Small nucleolar RNA SNORA81 (ENSMSIG00000023675.1)". It matches the Rfam family "Small nucleolar RNA SNORA81". Lineage: Eukaryota; Metazoa; Chordata; Mammalia; Rodentia; Muridae. The record is from RNAcentral.